GGCAAGAUGGCCGAGUUGGUUAUGGCGUGAGGUUAAGGUCACCUUAGCACAUUUCCUCAUGGAGCAAUCCGCGUGGGUUCAAGUCCCACUCUUGUCA
Molecule: transfer RNA, 97 nt
Filed under: Nemania diffusa
Lineage: Eukaryota; Fungi; Ascomycota; Sordariomycetes; Xylariales; Xylariaceae
Description: tRNA-Leu
Rfam family: tRNA
About the family: Transfer RNA (tRNA) molecules are approximately 80 nucleotides in length. Their secondary structure includes four short double-helical elements and three loops (D, anti-codon, and T loops).
Source: RNAcentral